This 337-nucleotide unclassified non-coding RNA is filed under the name soil metagenome. RNAcentral's name for it is "partial contains 5.8S ribosomal RNA, internal transcribed spacer 2, and large subunit ribosomal RNA". The stretch from base 1 to 120 matches the Rfam family "5.8S ribosomal RNA", at positions 35 to 154 of the family's 154-position model. The record is from RNAcentral.
GAUGAAGAACGCAGCGAAAUGCGAUAAGUAAUGUGAAUUGCAGAAUUCAGUGAAUCAUCGAAUCUUUGAACGCACAUUGCGCCCGGCAGUAUUCUGCCGGGCAUGCCUGUUCGAGCGUCAUUUCAACCAUCAAGCCCCAGCGCUUGUGUUGGGGGCCUGCGGCUGCCGCAGCCCCCUAAAAGCAGUGGCGGGCUCGCUAUCACACCGAGUGCAGUAGUUCAUCUUCUCUCCGGUCUUGUGAGGCGGGUUCCGGCCGUGAACCACCCAUCAUACUCAAGGUUGACCUCGGAUCAGGUAGGAAUACCCGCUGAACUUAAGCAUAUCAAUAAGCGGAGGA